UGCCAGACUCCUACGGGAGGCAGCAGUGGGGAAUAUUGCACAAUGGGGGAAACCCUGAUGCAGCGACGCCGCGUGAGCGAUGAAGUAUUUCGGUAUGUAAAGCUCUAUCAGCAGGGAAGAAGAUGACGGUACCUGACUAAGAAGCCCCGGCUAACUACGUGCCAGCAGCCGCGGUAAUACGUAGGGGGCAAGCGUUAUCCGGAUUUACUGGGUGUAAAGGGAGCGUAGACGGCGAUGCAAGCCAGAUGUGAAAGCCCGGGGCUCAACCCCGGGACUGCAUUUGGAACUGUGUGGCUGGAGUGUCGGAGAGGCAGGCGGAAUUCCUAGUGUAGCGGUGAAAUGCGUAGAUAUUAGGAGGAACACCAGUGGCGAAGGCGGCCUGCUGGACGAUGACUGACGUUGAGGCUCGAAAGCGUGGGGAGCAAACAGGAUUAGAUACCCUAGUAGG
This 448-nucleotide ribosomal RNA is filed under the name uncultured bacterium. RNAcentral describes it as "bacterial SSU rRNA". It matches the Rfam family "Bacterial small subunit ribosomal RNA", at positions 329 to 794 of the family's 1533-position model. The record is from RNAcentral.